Molecule: ribosomal RNA, 966 nt
Filed under: Triticum aestivum (bread wheat)
Lineage: Eukaryota; Viridiplantae; Streptophyta; Magnoliopsida; Poales; Poaceae
Description: partial small subunit ribosomal RNA
Source: RNAcentral
GUUCAGUCUUCUGACCCUAUUGAUAUCUUGAAUAUCAAACUUAAAAGAUUCAAAACCUACUUCAAAGGUUGGGGAUCGGAUAAAUAUGGCCACAACAAAAAAAGAAAAGAAGAGCUCCGGAUGGAGCUGGCCAUGCUAGAAGAGCUAGAAGAAGAUGGUCCCUUGUCCCCUGAGCUAUACAACAUCAAGGUUGAUGUUAGUACUGAGCUUCAUGACAUACUGGUGAAUGAGGAGAUAUAUUGGCUCCAACAGUCUCAUGAACGCUGGCUCUUGAAAGGGGACCUGAAUACGGACUAUUAUCAUAAAAUUGCAAAUGGCCGAAAGAGGAAGAACACAAUCCACUCCCUUAAAGGCGAGGAUGCGGAGAUCGAGGGCACUGACAAUCUGCUUGCUCAUGCCACGGAGUAUUACAAAAAUCUGUUCGGACAUGGGUCCGGUAAUCUGUUCCACCUUGAUCCUGACACUUGGUCUGUUGAGGAAAAGCUCGAUGCUAGUGAUAAUGCUGAUUUGUGCCGUGAGUUCAUGGAGGAAGAGAUCAAGGAGGCGCUGUUCUCUAUGGCUUUCAGGUAUGCUGGGAUGUUCUAUCAGGUAUGCUGGGAUAUCGUUAAAGAUGAUCUUGUGAGGCUUUUUGUGAGCUUUCAUAAUGGGACUUUGGAUGUUCAACGUCUUAACUAUGGGGUGAUCACCCUUUUGCCCAAAUCUUCAGGCGCGGAUAAAAUCCAGCAAUUUAGAUCUAUAUGUCUCCUGAGAUGUCCAUAUAAGCUUAUUACUAAAGUUUUGGAUCGGCGAGUGGAGAGGUACGCUGAUAAGCUCAUUAGCUCGACCCAAAAUGCUUUUAUCAAGGGAAGAAGCAUUAUGGACGGGGUGUUGUCGCUGCAUGAAAUUUUGAAUUAUACCCAUGUGAAAAAGAGGGUGGGGGUCGUCUUGAAGCUCGACUUUGAGAAAGCGUACGAUAAGGUGAACUGA